Small nuclear RNA from Aotus nancymaae (Ma's night monkey), 104 nucleotides. The record is from Ensembl. NCBI's taxonomy places the organism in Eukaryota, Metazoa, Chordata, Mammalia, Primates, Aotidae.
GCACUCACUUUGGCAGUACAUAUACUAAAAUUAAAACAAUAAAGAGAUUAGCAUGGUCUGUGUGCAAGGAUGACAUGCAAAUUCGUGAAGCCUUCCAUAUUUUU